This 460-nucleotide ribosomal RNA is filed under the name uncultured bacterium. Its description in RNAcentral is "partial 16S ribosomal RNA". It matches the Rfam family "Bacterial small subunit ribosomal RNA", at positions 338 to 795 of the family's 1533-position model. The record is from RNAcentral.
CCUACUGGAGGCAGCAGUGAGGAAUAUUGGUCAAUGGGCUUACGCCUGAACCAGCCAAGUCGCGUGAGGGAAGACUGCCCUAUGGGUUGUAAACCUCUUUUGUCAGGGAGCAACGCCGGCUACGUGUAGCCGGACUGAGAGUACCUGACGAAAAAGCAUCGGCUAACUCCGUGCCAGCAGCCGCGGUAAUACGGAGGAUGCGAGCGUUAUCCGGAUUUAUUGGGUUUAAAGGGCGCGUGGGGGGAAUGCCAAGUCAGCGGUAAAAUCGCGGGGCUAAACCUCGCUCCGCAGUUGAAACUGGCGUUCUUGAGUGGGCGAGAGGGAUGUGGAAGGCGUGGUGUAGCGGUGAAAUGCAUAGAGAUCACGCAGAACUCCGAUUGCGAAGGCAGCAUACCGGCGCCCAACUGACGCUGAAGCACGAAAGCGUGGGGAGCGAACAGGAUUAGAUACCCCAGUAGUC